AAGAUGGAGACAUUGUUCAGUACAAGAGAAGAUGUAACCCUGGGUCGGUGCAACCAGCAGCAGGACCAGGAAGUUCCUGUGGCUUCCACUACAAUUUGAUACAGAUGACAGUGAUAGCAGCAGUCAGGCACGUCAGUAAUUGAGCAACAGUUGUCAGCAUUGACAUUUGUGAGGUGACAUAUUGAAGCAGUGCUUGAGGUGACCUUGGACUCAGUGUAUCAGUUGCAUUCAGACUCUGAACAUGGCUGCAUCACUUUUGAUUUGUACCAAUAAAGAAAAAAGGGCUGUGUUUUAUUUUUUUAUGAGUGGAGGGUGUGAAAGGAGAUGGAAUUCACAGUUAUUUAUCUGCUGAAUACUGGGAUAACAUGUUACGUCAGCAGAAUGUGUGUAAGCUGAUUGAAAUGUUUAAGAAUGGCUGGACAAGUGAGACUGAUUAAGAGCACUUAGGCUGCUUGUGUACAUCAACCAGUGAUGAUAAACAGCAACAGGCCAGAGGCAUGAUACUUAGCAACAGAACAGCAGUAAUAAAAGGACAUUGCAACACAAUAAGAUAUUAAUCAUGGUUCAGCCCAUAUAGUUGCAUAUUACACCCUUGGAUAUCUCAAUGUUUGUGAAAGGUGGGUGCCAAAAGUUUUGAUAGAACAGCACUAGUGCAAUUAUUUGGAUGUCAGUUGUUAUAUUCAGAGCAAUAUCAUAAUGAAGGUGAACAUUUUUUUAAUUGCAUCAUCACUGGGGAUGAAACUUGGGUCCACUAUUACAACCCAGAAAGUAAACACCAGAGUAUGCAGUGGAAGCACCCAGCAUAUCCUUUAUCAAAGAGAUUUUGAAAACCAGUCAUCAGUUGGAAAGGUUAUGUUUACAGUGUUCUGGAAUUCCCAAGUUUAUGUCCUCAAACUUUAUCAAGAAAGUGAACCAUAGUAGCAAGUGUAAGAUAUUGUGACUUGCUGCACAAUAAACUGAAUCCAGUAAUUCACUAAACAUGGUGAGGAAGAUUGUUGCAGGAUGUUUUGUUGUAUGACAAUGCCCACACUCAUUCUGUUACCCUUACCAAGGAAACCCUCCAGGAACUGAAAUUUGAAGCUCUCAGCCACCCACCAUACAGUACAUACUUGCUGCUUCAUCUGUUUUGACCUUUGAAAGAGUCUUCAGGAUUAUGCAUUUGAUGUCAAAUUUAAGGAAGUGGUGCAAGACUGGCUACACACUCAACCAAAGAUAGUAUAAUACAACUUGUGGACUGCUGGACCAAGUGUACUGAGAAGCAGGAUGAUUAUAUAUAACUGUGAUAAAGCUGUAAACAUUCAGAACAAAUAAAUCAUAAAGAAAGAGAA
This is a non-coding RNA of Zootermopsis nevadensis, 1328 nucleotides long. NCBI's taxonomy places the organism in Eukaryota, Metazoa, Arthropoda, Insecta, Blattodea, Termopsidae. The record is from RefSeq and is a predicted model, not a curated record.